RNAcentral lists this ribosomal RNA (497 nucleotides) under uncultured bacterium. RNAcentral describes it as "partial 16S ribosomal RNA". It matches the Rfam family "Bacterial small subunit ribosomal RNA", at positions 28 to 507 of the family's 1533-position model. The record is from RNAcentral.
GAUGAACGCUGGCGGCGUGCCUAAUACAUGCAAGUCGAGCGAACGGACGAGAAGCUUGCUACUCUGACGUUAGCGGCGGACGGGUGAGUAACACGUGGAUAACCUACCUAUAAGACUGGGAUAACUUCGGGAAACCGGAGCUAAUACCGGAUAAUAUUUUGAACCGCAUGGUUCAAUAGUGAAAGACGGUCUUGCUGUCACUUAUAGAUGGAUCCGCGCUGCAUUAGCUAGUUGGUAAGGUAACGGCUUACCAAGGCAACGAUGCAUAGCCGACCUGAGAGGGUGAUCGGCCACACUGGAACUGAGACACGGUCCAGACUCCUACGGGAGGCAGCAGUAGGGAAUCUUCCGCAAUGGGCGAAAGCCUGACGGAGCAACGCCGCGUGAGUGAUGAAGGUCUUCGGAUCGUAAUACUCUGUUAUUAGGGAAGAACAUAUGUGUAAGUAACUGUGCACAUCUUGACGGUACCUAAUCAGAAAGCCACGGCUAACUACGUG